UGGGGAAUAUUGCACAAUGGGCGCAAGCCUGAUGCAGCCAUGCCGCGUGUGUGAAGAAGGCCUUCGGGUUGUAAAGCACUUUCAGCGGGGAGGAAGGCGUUAAGGUUAAUAACCUUGUCGAUUGACGUUACCCGCAGAAGAAGCACCGGCUAACUCCGUGCCAGCAGCCGCGGUAAUACGGAGGGUGCAAGCGUUAAUCGGAAUUACUGGGCGUAAAGCGCACGCAGGCGGUUGAUUGAGUCAGAUGUGAAAUCCCCGGGCUUAACCCGGGAAUUGCAUCUGAUACUGGUCAGCUAGAGUCUUGUAGAGGGGGGUAGAAUUCCAUGUGUAGCGGUGAAAUGCGUAGAGAUGUGGAGGAAUACCGGUGGCGAAGGCGGCCCCCUGGACAAAGACUGACGCUCAGGUGCGAAAGCGUGGGGAGCAAACAGG
RNAcentral lists this ribosomal RNA (429 nucleotides) under Chloroflexota bacterium. RNAcentral's name for it is "Chloroflexi bacterium partial 16S ribosomal RNA". It matches the Rfam family "Bacterial small subunit ribosomal RNA", at positions 355 to 776 of the family's 1533-position model. The record is from RNAcentral. Lineage: Bacteria; Bacillati; Chloroflexota.